CUGUGAGAAUGGGUAAGUACAAUAAAACACUCAGAUAUUAUUUGACUUGAAGCAAAUAAUCUAACACUGAAAAAUGUUUGAAGGGGAAAAUAAAAACUCAAGAGAAAUGGGAAGGUAGAGUUCUCAGUGAAGAAGCAGAAGGUCAUUGAAAGCAAAUGGGAAAAAAAGAACUUUUGGAAAGACAAAAAAAUGCAAGACAACACCCACUGCUGCAGAGAAAAAAACCAAGAGAAUGGAUUCUGUUUGUGGAAUUGUGGAGAUAAUGGGCAAGUGUAGAAUCUGCACUGCUGGAAGGAAGAAGAAAGGAGGGCUUAAAUAUCCAUGCCAAAAUUUAGAAAUGGCGACAAUGCACUUCCUGAAGACUCCUCAUUCAUGAAACGUUCACUGCUCAUGAGGCCACUGGUUUUACAAGCAGUGAUUCAAAACCCGAGGCGCUUUAGGAGACAAUGAUGCACGAGCCAUGGCUAACACUGAGAAAAGCUGCUGAGAAUCUAUACUGAUUGUAUGGUGAACCACUCUGCUUCCUAACUGUGCCUCCCAGUCUGUCUGUGUCAGGUACACCUCAUUGCUGUGUCAGCUCCCCCCCCCCCCCCCCCCCAUUAAAAAUGAUCAUCUGUGAAGAUAGCCAAGAGGCUGUGUCCAUGUGCGAUGGCUGUGAGCAAAUGUGAACCUUUCCCCUGAGGUCAAGAAUCUUUGGAUAAAGCCUUUGGCAGCUGGGAGCUGGCUGUGACCACUGAUCACCCCUCUGCGGGUGGACAGGGCUCCCUUAAAAGCUGUCCCAGAGGGGACCAGAUCUCAGAGGAUCUUUGUCCUGUUUGGAUCUAGAGGCAAGAGGAUUGCAACAUGAUAUCUGUAACAAGACAGAAGUCAAAAAUGCAGAGAGCUGUGCAGUAUGAUUGCAGAGAGAAUUCAGUGCUGGUGGAAGUGACUGGAUUCACAGCAGUGGAAACAGAGAUGGAGACACCCUGUAUCAUGCAACAGCUGUCUGAAGGACUGCUGCAGGGCCAUGCACUGCCCUUCAUCUGCUCCCAGACAGGGCCAGAACCUGCUCAUAUCACCCCAUGGACCAGUU
This 1072-nucleotide long non-coding RNA is filed under the name Numida meleagris (helmeted guineafowl). RNAcentral's name for it is "lncRNA (ENSNMEG00000016872.1)". The record is from RNAcentral. Lineage: Eukaryota; Metazoa; Chordata; Aves; Galliformes; Numididae.